Molecule: ribosomal RNA, 229 nt
Filed under: uncultured bacterium
Lineage: Bacteria
Description: partial 16S ribosomal RNA
Rfam family: Bacterial small subunit ribosomal RNA
Source: RNAcentral
CGGGGUGAGUAAUGUCUGGGAAACUGCCUGAUGGAGGGGGAUAACUACUGGAAACGGUAGCUAAUACCGCAUAACGUCUUCGGACCAAAGUGGGGGACCUUCGGGCCUCACGCCAUCGGAUGUGCCCAGAUGGGAUUAGCUAGUGGGUGGGGUAAUGGCUCACCUAGGCGACGAUCCCUAGCUGGUCUGAGAGGAUGACCAGCCACACUGGAACUGAGACACGGUCCAG